RNAcentral lists this ribosomal RNA (1423 nucleotides) under Escherichia coli. Its description in RNAcentral is "partial 23S ribosomal RNA". It matches the Rfam family "Bacterial large subunit ribosomal RNA", at positions 1413 to 2819 of the family's 2925-position model. The record is from RNAcentral. Lineage: Bacteria; Pseudomonadati; Pseudomonadota; Gammaproteobacteria; Enterobacterales; Enterobacteriaceae.
AGUCGAUGGGAAACAGGUUAAUAUUCCUGUACUUGGUGUUACUGCGAAGGGGGGACGGAGAAGGCUAUGUUGGCCGGGCGACGGUUGUCCCGGUUUAAGCGUGUAGGCUGGUUUUCCAGGCAAAUCCGGAAAAUCAAGGCUGAGGCGUGAUGACGAGGCACUACGGUGCUGAAGCAACAAAUGCCCUGCUUCCAGGAAAAGCCUCUAAGCAUCAGGUAACAUCAAAUCGUACCCCAAACCGACACAGGUGGUCAGGUAGAGAAUACCAAGGCGCUUGAGAGAACUCGGGUGAAGGAACUAGGCAAAAUGGUGCCGUAACUUCGGGAGAAGGCACGCUGAUAUGUAGGUGAAGUCCCUCGCGGAUGGAGCUGAAAUCAGUCGAAGAUACCAGCUGGCUGCAACUGUUUAUUAAAAACACAGCACUGUGCAAACACGAAAGUGGACGUAUACGGUGUGACGCCUGCCCGGUGCCGGAAGGUUAAUUGAUGGGGUUAGCCGCAAGGCGAAGCUCUUGAUCGAAGCCCCGGUAAACGGCGGCCGUAACUAUAACGGUCCUAAGGUAGCGAAAUUCCUUGUCGGGUAAGUUCCGACCUGCACGAAUGGCGUAAUGAUGGCCAGGCUGUCUCCACCCGAGACUCAGUGAAAUUGAACUCGCUGUGAAGAUGCAGUGUACCCGCGGCAAGACGGAAAGACCCCGUGAACCUUUACUAUAGCUUGACACUGAACAUUGAGCCUUGAUGUGUAGGAUAGGUGGGAGGCUUAGAAGUGUGGACGCCAGUCUGCAUGGAGCCGACCUUGAAAUACCACCCUUUAAUGUUUGAUGUUCUAACGUUGACCCGUAAUCCGGGUUGCGGACAGUGUCUGGUGGGUAGUUUGACUGGGGCGGUCUCCUCCUAAAGAGUAACGGAGGAGCACGAAGGUUGGCUAAUCCUGGUCGGACAUCAGGAGGUUAGUGCAAUGGCAUAAGCCAGCUUGACUGCGAGCGUGACGGCGCGAGCAGGUGCGAAAGCAGGUCAUAGUGAUCCGGUGGUUCUGAAUGGAAGGGCCAUCGCUCAACGGAUAAAAGGUACUCCGGGGAUAACAGGCUGAUACCGCCCAAGAGUUCAUAUCGACGGCGGUGUUUGGCACCUCGAUGUCGGCUCAUCACAUCCUGGGGCUGAAGUAGGUCCCAAGGGUAUGGCUGUUCGCCAUUUAAAGUGGUACGCGAGCUGGGUUUAGAACGUCGUGAGACAGUUCGGUCCCUAUCUGCCGUGGGCGCUGGAGAACUGAGGGGGGCUGCUCCUAGUACGAGAGGACCGGAGUGGACGCAUCACUGGUGUUCGGGUUGUCAUGCCAAUGGCACUGCCCGGUAGCUAAAUGCGGAAGAGAUAAGUGCUGAAAGCAUCUAAGCACGAAACUUGCCCCGAGAUGAGUUCUCCCUGAC